GAUGAACGCUGACAGAAUGCUUAACACAUGCAGGUCAACUUGAACUUCGGUUUGGGUGGCGGACGGGUGAGUAACGCGUAAAGAACUUGCCUCACAGUUAGGGACAACAUUUGGAAACGAAUGCUAAUACCUGAUAUUAUGAUUUUAGGGCAUCCUAGAAUUAUGAAAGCUAUAUGCGCUGUGAGAGAGCUUUGCGUCCCAUUAGCUAGUUGGAGAGGUAACGGCUCACCAAGGCGAUGAUGGGUAGCCGGCCUGAGAGGGUGAACGGCCACAAGGGGACUGAGACACGGCCCUUACUCCUACGGGAGGCAGCAGUGGGGAAUAUUGGACAAUGGACCAAGAGUCUGAUCCAGCAAUUCUGUGUGCACGAUGAAGUUUUUCGGAAUGUAAAGUGCUUUCAGUUGGGAAGAAAAAAAUGACGAUACCAACAGAAGAAGUGACGGCUAAAUACGUG
Molecule: ribosomal RNA, 454 nt
Filed under: uncultured bacterium
Lineage: Bacteria
Description: partial 16S ribosomal RNA
Rfam family: Bacterial small subunit ribosomal RNA
Source: RNAcentral